AAAGUCCCACCUACUCACAGUAAACCAUCUGCAGGGCAGUAGUGAACUCCACAUGCAUUUCCAGCAAUGGGGUGUGUGAAGCUGGAGGAAUCAAGGAUUCAGGCCGCGCUAUUGAGCCUCGAAAAAUUUGCUUCAUUGUGGUCUAUUAAGAUAAUCUAUCGUUAGUACAAUUUUAUUGUAUUGACGUUAGAAAAAGCCGACACUAUGCGCAUAGUGGAAGGCUAAAGUCUAUAAAUCGUUUUGGUUAGAUUUGUAGGCACCACCGUGGUCGGAGAACG
This is a non-coding RNA of Candidatus Magnetomorum sp. HK-1, 278 nucleotides long. The record is from Rfam. NCBI's taxonomy places the organism in Bacteria, Pseudomonadati, Thermodesulfobacteriota, Desulfobacteria, Desulfobacterales, Candidatus Magnetomoraceae.